GUCCAGGGAUGGGAACCGAACCCACAAUGUUCCACUUACCGGGCAGAUGCCAUGUCCACUAGGCUACCCUGGA
Molecule: transfer RNA, 73 nt
Filed under: Cordylochernes scorpioides
Lineage: Eukaryota; Metazoa; Arthropoda; Arachnida; Pseudoscorpiones; Chernetidae
Description: tRNA-Thr
Source: RNAcentral